CUCAAACUGACCCACACAGAGUUAUAUCUGCAGCUCAAUAGCUGUCAUCACUCAGCAAAGUGCAGUAGCGUGUGACGCUCCGUGCUACAUAGAGGGCAAGCGGUCUCAGAUUCCGACACCCUGCCAGAACAACUUCUCUGUCAGCAAACCAAAGACUUUUGCAGAGAUGGUAGUUCCAGACCAGUGCUGUUGUGGGUGCUCGCUCAGGAAGGGCACCAUCAUCAUUGCCGUCUUGUGUAUGGUUUGGUGCCUGUUUCAAUUAGCAAUAAUAGCGUACAGUUUGCACAACACCCUUGAGUACUUCAGCGGUGAUGUAAACAUGGAAACGUCAGAAAUUAUUUUAGAAGACUGAGCGUGACGGUUUCCCAACAGACACCGAAAUCCUGCCCUGCCCUGCACUGUGCUGCCCACGCCGACACAGCCGCUGCGGUACAGACAUACAGCAAGAAUUAACGCAUUUCGUAUUAUUGUUACAUACUUGUCUUCUGACAAACUACCAUUCAGUUUUUGUUGAUUUAAUGAAUUUAGUGGUAAAAUAAACAAAACGUUGCUCAAAGUUUCUCACAAGAUCAUGAUUUUACAAAUCCAUUAACAUUAAGAUGUGUAAUUGCGUAAAAUUAAU
Schistocerca cancellata (South American locust) is the source of this 622-nucleotide long non-coding RNA. RefSeq lists it as uncharacterized. The record is from RefSeq and is a predicted model, not a curated record. The transcript has 4 exons. Lineage: Eukaryota; Metazoa; Arthropoda; Insecta; Orthoptera; Acrididae.